This 534-nucleotide ribosomal RNA is filed under the name uncultured bacterium. RNAcentral's name for it is "bacterial LSU rRNA". It matches the Rfam family "Bacterial large subunit ribosomal RNA", at positions 548 to 1076 of the family's 2925-position model. The record is from RNAcentral.
UCCUGAAAACCGCAUGCAUACAAACAGUGGGAGCCUCGCAAGGGGUUGACUGCGUACCUUUUGUAUAAUGGGUCAGCGACUUACGUUCAGUAGCAAGCUUAACCGAAUAGGGGAGGCGUAGCGAAAGCGAGUCUGAAAAGGGCGAUAUAGUUGCUGGACGUAGACCCCGAAACCAGAUGAUCUACCCAUGGCCAGGAUGAAGGUGGGGUAACACCCCACUGGAGGUCCGAACCCCACUAGUGUUGAAAAACUAGGGGAUGAGCUGUGGGUAGGGGUGAAAGGCUAAAACAAAUCUGGAGAUAGCUGGUUCUCCCCCGAAAACUAUUUAGGUAGUGCCUCAUAUGGACACUUCCGGGGGUAGAGCACUGUAAUGGUUGAGGGGGUCGUUUAGAUCUACCUCGCCAUAGCAAACUCCGAAUACCGGAAAGUGAUGUAUGGGAGACAGACGGUGGGUGCUAACGUCCAUCGUCAAGAGGGAAACACCCAGACCGCCAGCUAAGGUCCCCAAUCGAUUGGCUAAGUGGAAAACGAGGU